GAGUUUGAUCUUGGCUCAGGAUGAACGUUGGCGGCGUGCCUAACACAUGCAAGUCGAACGGGAAGCCAAUUUCGGUUGGCAGAGAGUGGCGCACGGGUGCGUAACACGUAGCUCACCUGGCCCAAAGCGCGGGAUAACGCACCGAAAGGUGUGCUAAAACCGCAUAAGCUCACGGUCUGUAGAGGGGUGUGAGAAAACUCCGGUGCUUUGGGAUGGGGCUGCGGCCCAUCAGCUAGUUGGUGCGGUAACGGCGCACCAAGGCGACGACGGGUAGGGG
RNAcentral lists this ribosomal RNA (277 nucleotides) under uncultured Aquificia bacterium. Its description in RNAcentral is "uncultured Aquificae bacterium partial 16S ribosomal RNA". It matches the Rfam family "Bacterial small subunit ribosomal RNA", at positions 9 to 289 of the family's 1533-position model. The record is from RNAcentral. Lineage: Bacteria; Pseudomonadati; Aquificota; Aquificia.